AGUAAAUUGGUUAAGUUAGAAAGGGCGCACGGUGGAUGCCUUGGCACUAGGAGCCGAAGAAGGACGGGACUAACACCGAUAUGCUUUGGGGAGCUGUACGUAAGCGUUGAUCCAGAGAUUUCCGAAUGGGGGAACCCACUAUCUUUAGUCGGAUAGUAUCCUUACGUGAAUACAUAGCGUAAGGAAGGCAGACCCAGGGAACUGAAACAUCUAAGUACCUGGAGGAAGAGAAAGAAAAAUCGAUUUCCUGAGUAGCGGCGAGCGAAACGGAAAGAGCCCAAACCAAGAAGCUUGCUUCUUGGGGUUGUAGGACACUCUAUACGGAGUUACAAAAGAAAGCUAUAAAUGAAGCGGUCUGGAAAGGCCCGCCAAAGACGGUAACAGCCCGGUAGUUGAAAUGGUUUUCCCUCCAGAGUGGAUCCUGAGUACGGCGGAACACGUGAAAUUCCGUCGGAAUCCGGGAGGACCAUCUCCCAAGGCUAAAUACUCCCUAGUGACCGAUAGUGAACCAGUACCGUGAGGGAAAGGUGAAAAGCACCCCGGAAGGGGAGUGAAACAGUUCCUGAAACCGUGUGC
This 576-nucleotide ribosomal RNA is filed under the name Listeria swaminathanii. Its description in RNAcentral is "partial 23S ribosomal RNA". It matches the Rfam family "Bacterial large subunit ribosomal RNA", at positions 1 to 563 of the family's 2925-position model. Lineage: Bacteria; Bacillati; Bacillota; Bacilli; Caryophanales; Listeriaceae. The record is from RNAcentral.